AGCGGCGGACGGGUGAGUAACGCGUGGGUAACCUGCCUCAUACAGGGGGGUAACAGUUGGAAACGGCUGCUAAUACCGCAUAAGCGCACAGUACCGCAUGGUACGGUGUGAAAAACUCCGGUGGUAUGAGAUGGACCCGCGUCUGAUUAGGUAGUUGGUGGGGUAACGGCCUACCAAGCCGACGAUCAGUAGCCGACCUGAGAGGGUGACCGGCCACAUUGGGACUGAGACACGGCCCAA
RNAcentral lists this ribosomal RNA (240 nucleotides) under uncultured bacterium. Its description in RNAcentral is "partial 16S ribosomal RNA". It matches the Rfam family "Bacterial small subunit ribosomal RNA", at positions 94 to 334 of the family's 1533-position model. The record is from RNAcentral.